GACGAACGCUGGCGGCGUGCUUAACACAUGCAAGUCGAGCGGUAAGGCCCUUUCGGGGGUACACGAGCGGCGAACGGGUGAGUAACACGUGGGUGACCUGCCUCUAGCUCUGGGAUAAGCCUGGGAAGCUGGGUCUAGUACCGGAUAUGACCUCGCGGUGCAUGUUGCGGGGUGGAAAGCCUUGUGCGGCUAGGGAUGGGCCCGCGGCCUAUCAGCUUGUUGGUGGGGUGANGGCCUACCAAGGCGACGACGGGUAGCCGGCCUGAGAGGGCGACCGGCCACACUGGGACUGAGACACGGCCCAGACUCCUACGGGAGGCAGCAGUGGGGAAUCUUGCGCAAUGGGCGAAAGCCUGACGCAGCGACGCCGCGUGAGGGAUGACGGCCUCGG
Molecule: ribosomal RNA, 391 nt
Filed under: uncultured bacterium
Lineage: Bacteria
Description: bacterial SSU rRNA
Rfam family: Bacterial small subunit ribosomal RNA
Source: RNAcentral